RNAcentral lists this long non-coding RNA (933 nucleotides) under Homo sapiens (human). RNAcentral's name for it is "LHRI_LNC929.1". The record is from RNAcentral. Lineage: Eukaryota; Metazoa; Chordata; Mammalia; Primates; Hominidae.
CCUGCACACACCAGGGGCCCGCCUCAACCCUCCUCCUCUCUUGGAAACACGCCUCCUGCGGGAGGCAGCGGGAGGAGGUUCACGCGGCAUGACCGCGCUCUUGUCCUCCCGACGGCCUCGGAAGGUAAGGGGCGACGGGGGCCGGCUGGAAGCUUGGCGGGGCACGUCACCCACUGACCCGGCCACUCACCAGUGCACCAACACCGCACGGCCCUCAGCGCGGGCCUGACCGAUGAAGGCCACGCACCGGUCCAGAUGGCUGAGUAGGUCCGUCUCGGGUUUGUCCAGCGCUGGCACGAAGAGGCGCCAUAGAUCCUCGACCCCAGGCCCCGCCUUGAAGCUGGGCUCCUCCGAGUCCACUGUUAGCACGGCCGUGAUGCCCGCUUCCCUCAGGUGAUCUGGCUCCGCGACGGCCGCGGCCCCACCGAAAUACAAUCCUGGCUGCACUUCCAGCAUCUGCCCGGCACAGCUGACUCUGCUGGCGCUGGGGUUGCUGAGCUCGCAGCCAUCACUCGGGCCCGGAGCCUCCAACAUGGCCGCGCCCAGAGACAAGGCGGCUUCCUGCCCUACCAUCGAGUAGACUCCGGCUAGAACAUCCUUCCCCUGGGACUCGCCAGCCUCGGCGGCUCUGCUGCUCCCUCGGAGGACCACGUCGGCCGCAGGAAUCUGGACUUAUCGCUGAGGGGCGGAGCUUCGGCCCCAUUCAGCGCGGCCUUUCCACCCUUGUUCCCUCUGACCCCUACCCCCAAAGUUGAUGGUGAAGGAUAAGCUUCCCCAAAUACAGGGUUUCUCGAGCUCUUAGUAUUGAAAUUUUCAGGAAAGAGACAUCAGGAGCAGCUGAACUCAAAUGUGAAAUAAAUGUCGCACCAGCUGAAUCAGAAGCAUCAUUUUAUGCAUUUGAAGUAAAAUUUUUUUCAAUAUUAUGGAGCCAUC